GCGGAAGUGGUGAAAUUGGUAGACACACCAUCUUGAGGGGGUGGCGACGCAAGUCAUGAGGGUUCAAGUCCCUCCUUCCGCA
This 82-nucleotide transfer RNA is filed under the name Permianibacter aggregans. It matches the Rfam family "tRNA". From Rfam's summary of the family: Transfer RNA (tRNA) molecules are approximately 80 nucleotides in length. Their secondary structure includes four short double-helical elements and three loops (D, anti-codon, and T loops). Further hydrogen bonds mediate the characteristic L-shaped molecular structure. tRNAs have two regions of fundamental functional importance: the anti-codon, which is responsible for specific mRNA codon recognition, and the 3' end, to which the tRNAs corresponding amino acid is attached (by aminoacyl-tRNA synthetases). tRNAs cope with the degeneracy of the genetic code in two manners: having more than one tRNA (with a specific anti-codon) for a particular amino acid; and 'wobble' base-pairing, i.e. permitting non-standard base-pairing at the 3rd anti-codon position. Lineage: Bacteria; Pseudomonadati; Pseudomonadota; Gammaproteobacteria; Pseudomonadales; Pseudomonadaceae. The record is from Rfam by way of RNAcentral.